Molecule: ribosomal RNA, 468 nt
Filed under: uncultured bacterium
Lineage: Bacteria
Description: partial 16S ribosomal RNA
Rfam family: Bacterial small subunit ribosomal RNA
Source: RNAcentral
GACGAACGCUGGCGGCGUGCUUAACACAUGCAAGUCGAACGGAAAGGCCCUGCUCUUGCUGGGUGCUCGUGUGGCGAACGGGUGUGAAACACGUGAGUAUCCCCCCCUUGACUGUGGGAUAACUCCAGGAAACUGGGGCUAAUACCGGAGAGGAGCUCCUGCUGCAUGGGGGGCGUUGGAAAGUUUCGGCGGUUGGGGAUGGACUCGCGGCUUAUCAGCUUGUUGGUGGGGUAGUGGCUUACCCAGGCUUUGACGGGUAGCCGGCCUGAGAGGGUGACCGGCCACAUUGGGACUGAGAUACGGCCCAGACUCCUACGGGAGGCAGCAGUGGGGAAUAUUGCACAAUGGGCGGAAGCCUGAUGCAGCAACGCCGCGUGCGGGAUGACGGCCUUCGGGUUGUAAACCGCUUUCGCCUGUGACGAAGCGUGAGUGACGGUAAUGGGUAAAGAAGCACCGGCUAACUACGUG